AAAUCUUCGUUGACCCGCUAAAAUCAUCAAACAUGAAUUCGAUCAAGCUGUUGCUGAUUCUGAGCGUUGGAGUCUUUGGCGCGAUAUUUGCCGUCGCUGAUGCCUCACCUGCCAAAGAAAAAAUUGACUAGAUCAGUUACCGAUCGAAAACUAAUUGUCAGUCGUGUCUCGUUUCAACGCGACGCAUACGUAUGCAGACUUACAUAUAUACACUUAAAUGAAUCUUCACACCUUCGACCAAGUUACGCGCGAGUUUUACCUGCGAUCCGCGUUCCGGUAUCCUGUUCAAAUACAGCUUGAAUUCAAACACCGAAACUGAAGAUGUGAAAAAAACAUGUCUAAUUUGUAACAACGAUAAUAACAAUAGUAACAACAAUGUGUAUUCCACCCUGCAACACGUUGCGUUGAAAAAUAAAAUGGCGCGUAUGUGAAAAA
Neodiprion virginianus is the source of this 435-nucleotide long non-coding RNA. RefSeq lists it as uncharacterized. The record is from RefSeq and is a predicted model, not a curated record. Lineage: Eukaryota; Metazoa; Arthropoda; Insecta; Hymenoptera; Diprionidae. The transcript is spliced from 2 exons.